UUAGUACUCCCUCUGUCCCAAAAUUCUUGUCUUACAUUUGUCUAAAUACGGAUGUAUAAGUCACAUUUUAGUAUUAGAUACAUCCGUAUCUAGAAAAAUCUAAGACAAGAAUUUUGGGAAGGAGUGAGUACUAA
Triticum aestivum (bread wheat) is the source of this 134-nucleotide non-coding RNA. The record is from Rfam. NCBI's taxonomy places the organism in Eukaryota, Viridiplantae, Streptophyta, Magnoliopsida, Poales, Poaceae.